GUAGGUGGCAAGCGUUGUCCGGAAUUAUUGGGCGUAAAGCGCGCGCAGGUGGUUCUUUAAGUCUGAUGUGAAAGACCCCCCCGGGCUCAACCGGGGGAGGGUCAUUGGAAACUGGGGAACUUGAGUGCAGGAGAGGAAAGUGGAAUUCCACGUGUAGCGGUGAAAUGCGUAGAUAUGUGGAGGAACACCAGUGGCGAAGGCGACUUUCUGGCCUGUAACUGACACUGAGGCGCGAAAGCGUGGGGAGCAAACAGGAUUAGAUACCCUGGUAGUCCACGCCGUAAACGAUGAGUGCUAAGUGUUGGGGGGCUUCCGCCCCUCAGUGCUGCAGCUAACGCAUUAAGCACUCCGCCUGGGGAGUACGGUCGCAAAGACUG
This 377-nucleotide ribosomal RNA is filed under the name uncultured organism. Its description in RNAcentral is "partial 16S ribosomal RNA". It matches the Rfam family "Bacterial small subunit ribosomal RNA", at positions 527 to 896 of the family's 1533-position model. The record is from RNAcentral.